AGCGAACGCUGGCGGCAGGCCUAACACAUGCAAGUCGAACGAACCUUUCGGGGUUAGUGGCGGACGGGUGAGUAACACGUGGGAACGUGCCUUUAGGUUCGGAAUAACUCAGGGAAACUUGUGCUAAUACCGAAUGUGCCCUUCGGGGGAAAGAUUUAUCGCCUUUAGAGCGGCCCGCGUCUGAUUAGCUAGUUGGUUGAGGUAAUGGCUCACCAAGGCGACGAUCAGUAGCUGGUCUGAGAGGAUGAUCAGCCACAUUGGGACUGAGACACGGCCCAAACUCCUACGGGAGGCAGCAGUGGGGAAUCUUGCGCAAUGGGCGGAAGCCUGACGGAGCCAUGCCGCGUGAAUGAUGAAGGUCUUAGGAUUGUAAAAUUCUUUCAACGGGGAAGAUAAUGACGGUACCCGGAGAAGAAGCCCCGGCUAACUUCGUG
This 434-nucleotide ribosomal RNA is filed under the name uncultured bacterium. RNAcentral's name for it is "partial 16S ribosomal RNA". It matches the Rfam family "Bacterial small subunit ribosomal RNA", at positions 29 to 507 of the family's 1533-position model. The record is from RNAcentral.